Molecule: ribosomal RNA, 464 nt
Filed under: uncultured Pseudomonadaceae bacterium
Lineage: Bacteria; Pseudomonadati; Pseudomonadota; Gammaproteobacteria; Pseudomonadales; Pseudomonadaceae
Description: partial 16S ribosomal RNA
Rfam family: Bacterial small subunit ribosomal RNA
Source: RNAcentral
CCUACGGGGGGCAGCAGUGGGGAAUAUUGGACAAUGGGCGAAAGCCUGAUCCAGCCAUGCCGCGUGUGUGAAGAAGGUCUUCGGAUUGUAAAGCACUUUAAGUUGGGAGGAAGGGCAGUAAAUUAAUACUUUGCUGUUUUGACGUUACCGACAGAAUAAGCACCGGCUAACUCUGUGCCAGCAGCCGCGGUAAUACAGAGGGUGCAAGCGUUAAUCGGAAUUACUGGGCGUAAAGCGCGCGUAGGUGGUUCGUUAAGUUGGAUGUGAAAUCCCCGGGCUCAACCUGGGAACUGCAUUCAAAACUGACGAGCUAGAGUAUGGUAGAGGGUGGUGGAAUUUCCUGUGUAGCGGUGAAAUGCGUAGAUAUAGGAAGGAACACCAGUGGCGAAGGCGACCACCUGGACUGAUACUGACACUGAGGUGCGAAAGCGUGGGGAGCAAACAGGAUUAGAUACCCUUGUAGU